GGAGGGGGCGAGCGUUAUUCGGAAUUAUUGGGCGUAAAGGGCGCGUAGGCGGCCGGAUAAGUCAAAGGUGAAAUCCCUCGGCUCAACUGAGGAACUGCCUUUGAAACUGUUUGGCUCGAGUCCGGGAGGGGGUAGCGGAAUUCCCAGUGUAGCGGUGAAAUGCGUAGAUAUUGGGAGGAACACCAGUGGCGAAGGCGGCUACCUGGACCGGUACUGACGCUGAUGCGCGAAAGCGUGGGGAGCAAACAGGAUUAGAUACCCUGGUAGUCCACGCUGUAAACGAUGGGUGCUCGGUGUCGCGGGUAUCGACCCCUGCGGUGCCUUAGCUAACGCGUUAAGCACCCCGCCUGGGGAGUACGGUCGCAAGGCUG
RNAcentral lists this ribosomal RNA (371 nucleotides) under uncultured bacterium. Its description in RNAcentral is "bacterial SSU rRNA". It matches the Rfam family "Bacterial small subunit ribosomal RNA", at positions 527 to 896 of the family's 1533-position model. The record is from RNAcentral.